Molecule: ribosomal RNA, 497 nt
Filed under: uncultured bacterium
Lineage: Bacteria
Description: partial 16S ribosomal RNA
Rfam family: Bacterial small subunit ribosomal RNA
Source: RNAcentral
GAUGAACGCUGGCGGCGUGCCUAAUACAUGCAAGUCGAGCGAACAGACGAUGAGCUUGCGCCCCUGCCGUUAGCGGCGGACGGGCGAGUAACACGUGGAUAACCUACCUCUUAUACUUGGAUAACUACGUGAAACCGGUGCUACUACCGCCUAACAUGUUCAACCGGAUGGUUCAACAGAUCUAGACGGUCUUCCCGUUACUAUUAGAUGGAUCCGCGUCGGAUUAGCUAGUUGGUAAGGUAACAGCUUACCAAGGCGACGAUGCGUAGCCGACCUGAGAGGGUGAUCAGCCACACUGGAACUGAGACACGGUCCAGACUCCUACGGGAGGCAGCAGUAGGGAAUAUUCGACAAUGGGCGAAAGCCUGAUGGAGCCAUGCCGCGUGAGUGAAGAAGGUCUUCGGGUUGUAAAACUCUUUUGUUAGGGAAGAAAAGCUGCAGGAGAAUCUCUGGCUGUUCUGACGGUACCUAAUCAAAAAGCAACGGCUAACUUCGUG